Molecule: non-coding RNA, 804 nt
Organism: Pelecanus crispus (Dalmatian pelican)
Lineage: Eukaryota; Metazoa; Chordata; Aves; Pelecaniformes; Pelecanidae
Source: RefSeq, a predicted model, not a curated record
GUUUGAGGGUGGCUCUGGAUAUGACUAUUCUUAUGCAGGGGGGCGCGGUUCAUAUGGAGAUCUUGGUGGACCCAUCAUCACAACACAAGUAACGAUUCCCAAAGAUUUGGCAGGAUCUAUUAUUGGAAAGGGAGGCCAGAGAAUCAAACAAAUACGUCAUGAGUCAGGAGCUUCGAUCAAAAUUGAUGAACCAUUAGAAGGCUCAGAAGAUCGGAUAAUAACUAUUACGGGAACACAGGACCAGAUACAAAAUGCACAGUAUUUACUGCAGAACAGUGUGAAGCAGUAUGCAGAUGUUGAAGGAUUCUAAUGCAAGAUUAUUUUUUCUUUUUUAUAGUGUGAAGCAGUAUUCUGGAAAGUUUUUCUAAGACUAGUGAAGAACUGAAGGAGUCCUGCACCCUUUUUUUUUUUUUUUAUCUGCUUCUGUUUAAAAAGCCAACAUUCCUCUGCUUCAUAGGUGUUCUGCAUUUGAGGUGUAGUGGAAUCUUUGCUGUCCACCAGAUGUAAUGUUUUAGUUCCUUACAAAUAACGUGGGGGGAGGGAAGGGGCGCACGAGACUAACAUUGAAAUUUUGAAGCAGCAGCAGAGAGAGUGGAUUUUAUUUUUGUCCAUUGUUGGUGGUAAAUUGUAAUGUUUUUCUGUAAUUGUUGUGAACACCCUGCUUUAUGUACAUUUUAUUUUUUUUGAAGGGCGGAGAAUACUGGUUGUCCACAUGUCCUUGGCAUCCUUUGAGGGCAGUGUGCAGAAUGUAAUGCUCUUUUGUAAGAAACAUUUUAUGAUUUUUAAAUAAAUUUAGUGAACCUA